Long non-coding RNA from Leopardus geoffroyi (Geoffroy's cat), 1262 nucleotides. RefSeq lists it as uncharacterized. The transcript has 3 exons. Lineage: Eukaryota; Metazoa; Chordata; Mammalia; Carnivora; Felidae. The record is from RefSeq and is a predicted model, not a curated record.
UCUUUGGCGCUUUCCUACUCGUUUCCGGGUAAGACGGCUGCUGGCCUGGCAGCGCGUCCCUGGUCCCGAGUCACACCUGUUUGGGUUCUGCGUCUGUGCAGGAAGGCAUCUUCAGGCCCCACUCGAGGGCUGCCUCCCCACUUUCUCACAAUACAGGUCCUGGAGGGCCCGUGCGCACCGAGAGAUUGGUUUCCUGUGAAAAAGCUUUCCAGUGGUUAUCGAGGAUGCAGCCCUGAAUAAAAUGGAACUGCCCCGUGGCACUCAGCUCGAACUGGGGAGACACACAUUAGCUCUGCCUCUUCUGGGUGGACACAUGUAUGGUGAUUUGGAUUCCAGUCCCAAUUCUGCUGGGUGACCCUGGACAAAUAAGUGGCUUCAGUUUCCUCAUCUGUAAAAUUGAGGUUGCCUUGGAGAUUUGAUGACCUCAUGCAUGAAGAGCAUGGGUCUGGCCCACGGUAAGCACUUAAAUUGCUAUUAUCGUCGUCGUGAUCAUUCCUGUGUGACCAGCAUACGGAGUAGGUAGAAACAUGGGGUCUGAAACCAGUCAGACCUGAGCUGAGUCCCUGCAUUGUUAUGUGACCUUGAUAAGAUCAGUUUACAUCCCUGAACCUCAGGUUCCUUUUCUGUAAAGGGGCUGAAUGACAGUGCCCUCCUUCUAGACCUGGUUGUGAGAAUUCAGUGAAGUCAUGAAUGCGAAGUCCAUAGGACAUAGUCAUUCAGCCUAGGACAUAGUAAUUGCUCAGUAAACAGGGCCUAAAUGCUAGACUAACUUGAAUUUUCUUUUCUGUGGCUGUUUGGGGAGCAGAAUUAUUACUUAAAAUAAGACUUUAUAUUUUUGUUAUAAAAUCAUACAUAGCCAUUGAAAAAACGUAAACAGUACAGAAUUGUUUAGUAGCAGAAUGCAAGUUGACUUACUUCCCUUUCCCCUAAUUCCUUAAGUAACCACUGUUGACUGUUGCAUCGCUUUCAGAAUUAUACACACACACACACACACACACACACACACACACGCCUGUGUGCAUGCGUGGACAUGCUCUUCUUGAGGAGGCCAAAAACGAGAACGGCUGAGAGUUCAGAUUCCAGAGUCACAUAGGCCCAGGUUCUAGUCCUACCCCUGCCACUUACUGUGAGGUGGCUGGCAAGUUCUUUAAUGAUCACUCUUGAGUCUCAGUUUCCCUUUCUAUAAGGGGAAAAGUCAUGGCAGUGCCGGUGAUGAGCAUAAGGCAGGCUGAAGGCAAAAAACAAGCUAGCACCCCCGCCCC